Molecule: unclassified non-coding RNA, 376 nt
Filed under: uncultured bacterium
Lineage: Bacteria
Description: contains 16S-23S intergenic spacer region
Source: RNAcentral
UCACCGCUUGCGCGGGCAGUCUCAUUAGAGUCCCCAGCAUGACCUGUUGGCAACAUAGGACAAGGGUUGCGCUCGUUGCGGGACUUAACCCAACAUCUCACGACACGAGCUGACGACAGCCAUGCACCACCUAUCACAGGCCCCGAAGGACACCACAUCUCUGUGGCUUUUCCUGCGUAGUUCAACCCAGGUAAGGUUCUUCGCGUCGCCUCGAAUUAAGCAACAUGCUCCGCCGCUUGUGCGGGCCCCCGUCAAUUCCUCUGAGUUUUAAUCUUGCGACCGUACUCCCCAGGCGGAUGACUUCUCGCGUUAGCUGCGUUACUAAAGGAUUUAACUCCUCCAACAGCUAGUCAUCAUCGUUUAGGGCGUGGACUAC